RNAcentral lists this ribosomal RNA (497 nucleotides) under uncultured bacterium. RNAcentral describes it as "partial 16S ribosomal RNA". It matches the Rfam family "Bacterial small subunit ribosomal RNA", at positions 28 to 507 of the family's 1533-position model. The record is from RNAcentral.
GAUGAACGCUGGCGGCGUGCCUAAUACAUGCAAGUCGAGCGAACAGACGAGGAGCUUGCUCCUCUGACGUUAGCGGCGGACGGGUGAGUAACACGUGGAUAACCUACCUAUAAGACUGGGAUAACUUCGGGAAACCGGAGCUAAUACCGGAUAAUAUAUUGAGCCGCAUGGUUCAAUAGUGAAAGACGGUUUUGCUGUCACUUAUAGAUGGAUCCGCGCCGCAUUAGCUAGUUGGUAAGGUAACGGCUUACCAAGGCAACGAUGCGUAGCCGACCUGAGAGGGUGAUCAGCCACACUGGAACUGAGACACGGUCCAGACUCCUACGGGAGGCAGCAGUAGGGAAUCUUCCGCAAUGGGCGAAAGCCUGACGGAGCAACGCCGCGUGAGUGAUGAAGGUCUUCGGAUCGUAAAACUCUGUUAUUAGGGAAGAACAAAUGUGUAAGUAACUAUGCACGUCUUGACGGUACCUAAUCAGAAAGCCACGGCUAACUACGUG